AAUGAACGCUGGCGGCGUGCUUAACACAUGCAAGUCGAACGAGAAAGUGGACUUCGGUCCGCGAGUAAAGUGGCGCACGGGUGAGUAACGCGUGAAUAAUCUACCCCUGAAUUUGGGACAACAGUUCGAAAGGGCUGCUAAUACCGGAUAAUAUGAUUUUUACUACGGUUUGAAUCAUCAAAGAGGGCCUCUCCUUGGAAGCUUUUGUUUGGGGAUGAGUUCGCGUACCAUUAGCUUGUUGGUGGGGUAACGGCCUACCAAGGCUGCGAUGGUUAGCUGGUUUGAGAGAAUGAUCAGCCACACUGGAACUGACACACGGUCCAG
Molecule: ribosomal RNA, 324 nt
Filed under: uncultured Desulfofrigus sp.
Lineage: Bacteria; Pseudomonadati; Thermodesulfobacteriota; Desulfobacteria; Desulfobacterales; Desulfobacteraceae
Description: bacterial SSU rRNA
Rfam family: Bacterial small subunit ribosomal RNA
Source: RNAcentral